GACGAACGCUGGCGGCGUGCCUAAUACAUGCAAGUUGAGCGCUGAAGGUUGGUACUUGUACCAACUGGAUGAGCAGCGAACGGGUGAGUAACGCGUGGGGAAUCUGCCUUUGAGCGGGGGACAACAUUUGGAAACGAAUGCUAAUACCGCAUAAAAACUUUAAACACAAGUUUUAAGUUUGAAAGAUGCAAUUGCAUCACUCAAAGAUGAUCCCGCGUUGUAUUAGCUAGUUGGUGAGGUAAAGGCUCACCAAGGCGAUGAUACAUAGCCGACCUGAGAGGGUGAUCGGCCACACUGGGACUGAGACACGGCCCAAACACCUACGGGAGGCAGCAGUAGGGGAGCUUCGGCAAUGGACGAAAGGCUGACCGAGCAACGCCGCGUGAGUGAAGAAGGGUUUCGGAUCGUAAAACUCUGUUGGUAGAGAAGAACGUUGGUGAGAGUGGAAAGCGCAUCAAGUGACGGUAACUACCCAGAAAGGGACGGCUAACUACGUG
RNAcentral lists this ribosomal RNA (497 nucleotides) under uncultured bacterium. RNAcentral describes it as "partial 16S ribosomal RNA". It matches the Rfam family "Bacterial small subunit ribosomal RNA", at positions 28 to 507 of the family's 1533-position model. The record is from RNAcentral.